CCGCGUCCCAUCUCUAUGGCUCUGUCUCUUCUGAGUGGUUCAGGCAAAUGGAGGCACACGUGCCCGCACUUCCCUGGGGCUGGCGGGACGCACGCCGCUGCGGGGAUGUGCGCUUUCCGUUAGCUGUCCGUGGAGGUUGUGUGGUUUCCACACCUGGACACUGGAGACAUGGUCUCCUGCCCAGGCUUUAUUGUCAUCCCUCAACCAAAUGUGGCUCCUGCUGACGUGACCCGCAGCCACUCCUCAUGCCACCAGGCGUGGGCAGGCGCGGCGGAGGCCCGCCCGCCGCUGCUGAGGUCCCGCGGGGCGUCAGCCCUGGGCUGUCUCCUGCUGGUCUCCAGGCCUUGCGGAUCCCGUGCCGGCGCUGCAGGAGAGCAGCGGUGUCUGUCUAAGGCGGAGUGGAAGUGUGCGCGGAGUGGAAGUGUGCGGGGGGACGCGCACGGCACGCUCCCGCCAGCCUCCGUGCGUUCCUCCUUGACGGCUCCAUGGGCAAGAAAAGCAGCCAUUCGCGUGGGAGCCUCUGCCGCCCCGGACUCGCCGCUGCACUGAAGAACACGCGCACGGUGUAGCCUGGGUGCCGAGGAAAUGGGUCGAAAUGCCUUAAAGUUAAAGCAGUUGCUCUGUUGCGAGUGACCGUCCACAACACUCAGAAAAAAAUGCUGUUUUCAGGCUUGAUCAGAACGUUAGUGGAAACAUUUUUGUGUUCAGGCUCUUUUGGUGACAUGCGACUGAAGUGACUGAGCUGUGAAUUAUGCGUUUUAGACCAGGGCACUUCUGUCCUGGCCUCUGAUGAACAUUCCAGAAGGCCCCCAGAACCUGACGGACACUUGCUCACUCUGUCCCCUCGUCCCCCUGCAAGGGGCCGGGAAACAGUCAUAACGAGAGUAAAUGGUGCCGGCCAGGGAGUGCCCAGUGCUGGCCUUUUCAAGGUCCCUUUCAGGACAAGGGCCCUGCCUCCGUGUCUUCUGUUUGCCAGGAGUCACCUUACCCCUCCCACACAGCGCGAGGACAGGGACAGGGAAGCAGAUCUGGGGGGGAGAGCCGAGCUGGAACCUGCGGCUUCCCAGCCUCCGCCCUGCGCGCGUGCCUGGCCCCUGGGCUUCCACGCCCUGAGCAGCGGGACAACAGCCCCUUGCUGGGCGGGGCGGAACCCCACGGGGCAGGCGGAACUGGGCUGAGCAGCCCUCUUCUCUUUAUUUCUAAGAGACAGGGAACAGCUACCCCGUCACCUGCAUUUCCAGGGGACAUCACAUCCACACCCUCUUGCAUUAUUGCCUGUGGCCACCGCGGGCAGACAUCCCUCAGUGCCCACACCUCUGUCGCCCUCAGCCACAGCAGGGCCUGAGCUCCCCGGGGAGACACGGGGUUUCUGCCACCAGGCCACAGAGCGCCCCUUCUCCUCUGUUCCAGGGGGCGAUCGCAGCUCAGUGUCACUGUGUGUGGAGAGUGUUCAGUCACAGCAACCAACCCGCUGUCCGAUCAGCGGCUCUAGCAGGAUUCUGCUGCACACGCCGCCUCUCCUGCCUCCCUCCCGGGUGCGGGCAGAGGCCCCAGUUCGCCUGCGUGCGGCUGCACCGCUGCCGGAGAAUGAGCGGAGACAGCAGAUGGUUUGUGGUGUGGAUUCUCCCCCAGUUUUUCCAGAACGUUCAGCCAGCACCGUGGGCCUCCCUCCUAGCGGCACGCGGGGACCUCGCAGCUGUGCACCGCCGCGGCCUGGGCACCGCACUGCUGGCAGAAAGGCAAGGCGGGCAGGGGCAGGACGCCGGCCACGUGACCUGGAUCCGAACCGAGCUCGGCACGGCCUUUCUUCAGAGCCAGCAGACGCGUAGAGGAUGCCCCUCUCCCAGGGCUUAGUUACCCUGGUAAAAGUCCUUCUGGGGAAAUACUCGGGGAGUGUUUACUGUGCGUGCUGUGGCGGCGGCUCCACGACUCAUCUCAAAAGUACACGGCCCUGUCUUCAGUUACUGGGCUCUGGUCUGAGAGUCGCGCAGAGAGGUUGGCGCCGGCUGUUGCUGUCCUUGCUACCUGACAUGCGGGUUGUCCUGGCAGCGCUGAGGCCAACCGCGGCCAGCCCCCAUGCGGCUGGCCUCUGAACAGCGAGGGUGUUGGCCUGUGGGUCUGCCUGCCCUGGCUUCACCGACCCUUCCUGGGUUUACAUUCGCCUCUCGUUUGCUAUUCCAGGAUCCUAUUCUGCCUAUCAGGAGUGGAAGGCCCAGUUCUGUGGAAGUUUCUAGACUACAGAGGAGAUCCACCAUCAAGCUCCUCAAAAAUAUCAAUGCUCCUGCCAUCUGCACCCCACCGCCGACUCACCCCUGAUGGCUUCGGGGAAGGUCCUCCGGGCCUCCCUGGGGAGCGUGAGCAAGGGCGAAAUCCUUGCCUGCAAUAUUCAGUACGAUAACAUGUGGCACAGGCUUGCAGCCUGGAGCAACAGGCCGCACCACACAGCCCAGGUGUGCAGGAGGCUCGACCACCUAGGUGUGUGGAAGCACAUUCGAUGGUGUUCACACAACUGAAUCCCCUGAGGAUCCAUUUCUCAGAAUGUGUUCCUGCCAUUAAAUGACACAUGGCUGUCAUUUGUUCUUCUGAGCCUACUUGGCAGCAUCAGGGGCCAACUCCGCAGUCCUGUGAUCAUCCUCGUCUCUGCACUGACCAGACACCAUGGCCACCAUGUGUCCCAGCACUUCGCCUUCCACUUGCACCUCGCUCCAAUCUAUCACGGGAUUAUGACUCGAGUAGUCACGAUGGCAUUGCAUGUCCAAUGUUAUCACCAUCUCUUACUGUUAGGGACCGACCUUCCACAGCCCCACCGGACAGAAAAGCAGAGACAUUGAGGAUGCAAUCACACAAGA
Microcebus murinus (gray mouse lemur) is the source of this 2849-nucleotide non-coding RNA. The record is from RefSeq and is a predicted model, not a curated record. Lineage: Eukaryota; Metazoa; Chordata; Mammalia; Primates; Cheirogaleidae.